This 586-nucleotide long non-coding RNA is filed under the name Homo sapiens (human). RNAcentral's name for it is "HSALNT0158739". The record is from RNAcentral. Lineage: Eukaryota; Metazoa; Chordata; Mammalia; Primates; Hominidae.
GAGAGUGAGAAGCAAAAAAUAGUGCCCAGAAUUGGUGGAAUUAGAACCAAAAGUAGGUAAUGACAAAGAGCCAAGAGUUUGUUUGGAGGCCGGAGUGAGCUUGACAGAACUAGAUGAAAUUGGCCACUGGGCACUGGGACCCAGAAAGGCCUCAUUGCCACAGAGUUGCAACAGAGUGUGGGGUCCCAUUAUCAGAAUCCUUUCUAUGGUGCAUCCAAUUGGCUAUGACUCUCCUAAGAACAGCGCUGCAGGAAAAUGCAAGUUCACAGGAUAAUGAAUGCACUGUUGCUUCUCUGCUGCUGACUUUUCCCACGAAUAAAACUUGUAUUUAUUUGUACUGCUGGUUCGGGCUGCCAUAAAAAGCACCACAGACGAUAUGGCUUACACCACAGAAACUCAUGUUCUCCCAAUCCUGGAAGCUGAAAGUCCAAGAUCAAAGUGUUGUCUGGGUUGGUUUCUUCCAAGACCUCUACUGUUGGCUUACAGAUGAUUGUAUUCAGUUCACAUGAUGUUCUUCUAUGAGUGCCUGUGUCGAUUUUCUGUUCUUAUAAAGAUAUCAGUCAGAUUAAAUGAUGGUUCACCCAAA